RNAcentral lists this ribosomal RNA (253 nucleotides) under uncultured bacterium. RNAcentral's name for it is "partial 16S ribosomal RNA". It matches the Rfam family "Bacterial small subunit ribosomal RNA", at positions 524 to 776 of the family's 1533-position model. The record is from RNAcentral.
GACGGAGGGUGCAAGCGUUGUUCGGAAUUACUGGGCGUAAAGGGCGCGUAGGUGGCCUGUUAAGUUCGGUGUGAAAGCCCCUGGCUCAACCCCAAGCCUGCACUGGAUACUGCCUCGCUUGAGUCCGGGAGGGGAGAGCGGAAUUCCUAGUGUAGCGGUGAAAUGCGCAGAUAUUAGGAAGAACACCGGUGGCGAAGGCGGCUCUCUGGAACGGUACUGACGCUGAGACGCGAAAGCGUGGGGAGCGAACAGG